UAUGUGAUCGUCUCUUGCAUAUCAAUAAGCGGAGGAAAAGAAACUAACAAGGAUUCCCCUAGUAACGGCGAGUGAAGCGGGAAGAGCUCAAAUUUGAAAUCUUAAAGGGUUUCCCUUUACGAAUUGUAGUUUAAAGAAGUGUUUUCUGUUGAGGUUUUGGUAAAAGUUCUUUGGAAUAGGACAUCAUAGAGGGUGAGAAUCCCGUAUUUGACCUUUACUUUCAACUUUGUGAUACACUUUCAAAGAGUCGGAUUGUUUGGGAAUGCAGUCCAAAAUGGGUGGUAAAUUUCAUCUAAAGCUAAAUAUUGGCGAGAGACCGAUAGCGAACAAGUACCGUGAGGGAAAGAUGAAAAGAACUUUGAAAAGAGAGUUAAACAGUACGUGAAAUUGUCAAAAGGGAAGCGUUUGACACCAGUGUUGUUUUUCUGAAAAUCAAUUAAAGAACUGUUUAUGCUAAGUUGUUUAGACUUUAUCAGCUAUCUGCUUAGUUUUGAGCUUUUCUUUAAUGCACUUUUCAGUUAACAAGUCAACAUCAAUUUCUUUUCGCUGUAAAAAAGCUUGAGGAAGGUGGCUUGAGAUUCGUCUUAAGUGUUUAUAGCCUCUCGCCUAUGCAGUCGGAGAGAUUGAGGUCUGCAGCGUAGAUCCUCCGGGGCUAAAUGCAUUUGUGCUAAGUUAUAGCAUUUUAUAGACAACUUGUUGACUAUGAUUUGUCUUGUAGCUUACUCGCUUAUGUUAUUUUACCUACGCUUAGGAUGUUGAAGUCAUCGUAUCGCGC
This 775-nucleotide ribosomal RNA is filed under the name uncultured Neocallimastigales. RNAcentral describes it as "partial large subunit ribosomal RNA". It matches the Rfam family "Eukaryotic large subunit ribosomal RNA", at positions 23 to 645 of the family's 3401-position model. The record is from RNAcentral. Lineage: Eukaryota; Fungi; Neocallimastigomycota; Neocallimastigomycetes; Neocallimastigales.